Molecule: long non-coding RNA, 863 nt
Organism: Cydia strobilella
Lineage: Eukaryota; Metazoa; Arthropoda; Insecta; Lepidoptera; Tortricidae
Exons: 3
Source: RefSeq, a predicted model, not a curated record
GCGAGCCAUCGGCGCCAGUUGUAUUGUUAUUGCUCACAAAUACUUCAUCAGUAAUUAAUUAAGCAAUCGCUUUUUCCAUUAAAGCGCGUUCAGCAAGUUACAACCCGUGCUAGUGUCAGCGUAUUCAACGCGCUCGCUUCUUUUGAAAACGUAACCUCAAUUCUUGUAGCAUCUUUAUCAUAAACUGCUGCCGAAUGCGUAACGAUUGUUUCUUCGGCGCGUGGAACAAUUGAACCGUCGAGGAGCGUUUUAUCAUCGGCUCGUAAAUUAUCGGCACUCGUGGCUUCGCCGGCGUGAGUCAGGUGUCGCAGUAAACAGACACGGGGUCCCCGGCGAGUCGGCCCGGCGACCCUCGCAUGGACGGAUCGGCGCGAACAUUCGCGGCACGUCCUUUGUUGGCCGUUUUGUUUUGGAGUACCAUCCGGUUUCUGGUGGUAGGGGGGAGGGGACAGGUGGGCGCAGGUAGCGCGCGCGUCGGCACUCGGCAGUCAGUCCAACACGGCGCGCCGCGCUGCGCGCGCGGCUUGCCCGCGACCGAUUCUCUAUCAAAUAUGGAAAUGGCCGGUCAGGCCGCGACAGGUGUGCGUGCGGCAUUCGUGCACGUGUACUGUUUGUGAGUGCCAGCGCUGCCCUCGGCUCCACCUCUCAACCUCACGAUUGUGCAAUGGAACAUGGAAAAUAUGACAAUGGAUUAUUAUUGAUUAAAUGAACGCGUAACUAGUAAGUAGAUAGGCAAAUAAAGCUCCGAUUACUCGCGUCGCGUCACUGGCCGACGUUUCUGGUGUGAGCAAAUACGUGCAAUCGUGACGCGACGUCACACGGAAACCACGGCUUUAUACGUACCUAAUUCAUCAAACUUAUUU